This 293-nucleotide unclassified non-coding RNA is filed under the name uncultured fungus. Its description in RNAcentral is "partial contains small subunit ribosomal RNA, internal transcribed spacer 1, and 5.8S ribosomal RNA". The stretch from base 1 to 73 matches the Rfam family "Eukaryotic small subunit ribosomal RNA", at positions 1759 to 1831 of the family's 1831-position model. The record is from RNAcentral. Lineage: Eukaryota; Fungi.
GCAAACUUGGUCAUUUAGAGGAAGUAAAAGUCGUAACAAGGUUUCCGUAGGUGAACCUGCGGAAGGAUCAUUAGUGAUGUCUUGGGUUUAUUGACUGUGAAGCUGGGGUGUAUGUGGUGUGUGGUGUGGUGUGGUGGUGUCACAGUCGUGGUGCUGAGCAUCAAGGUUGAGCAUCAGCACAUCCACAACCGCCGCAUAUCAACAACGCGACAAAAACCAUAACAACAACAACGCGAAACGUUACAACUCCCAGCAGCGGAUCUCUUGGCUCCUGCAUCGAUGAAGAACGCAGC